Molecule: long non-coding RNA, 538 nt
Organism: Carassius gibelio (silver crucian carp)
Lineage: Eukaryota; Metazoa; Chordata; Actinopteri; Cypriniformes; Cyprinidae
Exons: 3
Source: RefSeq, a predicted model, not a curated record
CCCCCCCCCCCCCACCUGUUGAUAACUUGACCAAGAUGCCACUGGAGAUACUCAGGCAGAUCCUUUUGAGAGUGGUCUCAGAUGACGGAGACAUCGGCUUUAUGAGACUUUCUCUCACGUGCAAGCUUUUUAGGGACAUUGUCAGAGAGACAAAAUUCAAAGAAGAGGCCCACUUCAUGUGGCUAGACAGUGUCGUGAACUGGAGUGCAUUUUCUGUAGGAUACAGACAGGAGUUCCGGGUGCCGUAUUCACUGACCCAGUGCCUAUGGUGCCAUGAAACAUUCAAAGACUGCCCACCUGGCUAUGUUGGGAAUGGCAGGAGGGGAGUCCUGCGUGGAUUUUAUUCCUACAAAGACUUUGAGGGCUACUGCUCAGUUGAUUGUUUUAUUAAAGAUGGAGGUGAAUUUUAGAAUGUGUAGGUGCAGAUGCAGUUUCUUUUUUCUUUCUCAUGUGUCAUGUUUAUAGUUGUAAUCUCUCUUUCUCUCUUUCUCUCUCUCUCUCUCUCUCUCUCUCUCUCUCUCAAUCAUAUAUGUACACA